Long non-coding RNA from Melozone crissalis (California towhee), 526 nucleotides. RefSeq lists it as uncharacterized. The transcript is spliced from 3 exons. Lineage: Eukaryota; Metazoa; Chordata; Aves; Passeriformes; Passerellidae. The record is from RefSeq and is a predicted model, not a curated record.
GCUCUUUUCUCUCCGGCUGCAGGGAAGCAGGCCAGCGGAUAAUUACCCCUCACUGCAAUCCGCAGAGCUGGCCUAAUCCGAAAGCUCAAGUGCCCGAUGAAGGCUGAAGAGAGGCACCGACUCGAAGUUAGGACAAUUGAGCUGUCGAUUGUUUGGUGGAGAAACAGGGAAGAGAUGCGGGCUCCAACAUCACCUCUUUGGCAGAGCACUGGGUGACGAGCAAGAGUUCUGAUUUUCUCUCACGUCUCCCAGCCGCCAGAGAAAGGUGUGAUCAGAUGGUCUUCUACUACAACAGAAACAAUCCCGGAGAUCCAGCAAAGAAACACUAAAUGAUUAAACUUCUCCUGACGCCAAACUUGCACGCAGAGAAGUUAAGGACCAGAAACAUGGACAGUGUUUGGGGGAGCCGCAGUUGAUGGGCACGGCCGUGUCUCCUCGCAGGAGACCCCUGAGAAUGGGAAAUUAGCAGUCGAAAUCUGCUAGUGGGGACUGGAUCCCACAAAGCCCACGCGUUGGGAAGGCUGAG